This 2771-nucleotide ribosomal RNA is filed under the name Escherichia coli. RNAcentral's name for it is "bacterial LSU rRNA". It matches the Rfam family "Bacterial large subunit ribosomal RNA". Lineage: Bacteria; Pseudomonadati; Pseudomonadota; Gammaproteobacteria; Enterobacterales; Enterobacteriaceae. The record is from RNAcentral.
AGCGUACACGGUGGAUGCCCUGGCAGUCAGAGGCGAUGAAGGACGUGCUAAUCUGCGAUAAGCGUCGGUAAGGUGAUAUGAACCGUUAUAACCGGCGAUUUCCGAAUGGGGAAACCCAGUGUGUUUCGACACACUAUCAUUAACUGAAUCCAUAGGUUAAUGAGGCGAACCGGGGGAACUGAAACAUCUAAGUACCCCGAGGAAAAGAAAUCAACCGAGAUUCCCCCAGUAGCGGCGAGCGAACGGGGAGCAGCCCAGAGCCUGAAUCAGUGUGUGUGUUAGUGGAAGCGUCUGGAAAGGCGCGCGAUACAGGGUGACAGCCCCGUACACAAAAAUGCACAUACUGUGAGCUCGAUGAGUAGGGCGGGACACGUGGUAUCCUGUCUGAAUAUGGGGGGACCAUCCUCCAAGGCUAAAUACUCCUGACUGACCGAUAGUGAACCAGUACCGUGAGGGAAAGGCGAAAAGAACCCCGGCGAGGGGAGUGAAAAAGAACCUGAAACCGUGUACGUACAAGCAGUGGGAGCCUCUUUAUGGGGUGACUGCGUACCUUUUGUAUAAUGGGUCAGCGACUUAUAUUCUGUAGCAAGGUUAACCGAAUAGGGGAGCCGAAGGGAAACCGAGUCUUAACUGGGCGUUAAGUUGCAGGGUAUAGACCCGAAACCCGGUGAUCUAGCCAUGGGCAGGUUGAAGGUUGGGUAACACUAACUGGAGGACCGAACCGACUAAUGUUGAAAAAUUAGCGGAUGACUUGUGGCUGGGGGUGAAAGGCCAAUCAAACCGGGAGAUAGCUGGUUCUCCCCGAAAGCUAUUUAGGUAGCGCCUCGUGAAUUCAUCUCCGGGGGUAGAGCACUGUUUCGGCAAGGGGGUCAUCCCGACUUACCAACCCGAUGCAAACUGCGAAUACCGGAGAAUGUUAUCACGGGAGACACACGGCGGGUGCUAACGUCCGUCGUGAAGAGGGAAACAACCCAGACCGCCAGCUAAGGUCCCAAAGUCAUGGUUAAGUGGGAAACGAUGUGGGAAGGCCCAGACAGCCAGGAUGUUGGCUUAGAAGCAGCCAUCAUUUAAAGAAAGCGUAAUAGCUCACUGGUCGAGUCGGCCUGCGCGGAAGAUGUAACGGGGCUAAACCAUGCACCGAAGCUGCGGCAGCGACACUAUGUGUUGUUGGGUAGGGGAGCGUUCUGUAAGCCUGUGAAGGUGUGCUGUGAGGCAUGCUGGAGGUAUCAGAAGUGCGAAUGCUGACAUAAGUAACGAUAAAGCGGGUGAAAAGCCCGCUCGCCGGAAGACCAAGGGUUCCUGUCCAACGUUAAUCGGGGCAGGGUGAGUCGACCCCUAAGGCGAGGCCGAAAGGCGUAGUCGAUGGGAAACAGGUUAAUAUUCCUGUACUUGGUGUUACUGCGAAGGGGGGACGGAGAAGGCUAUGUUGGCCGGGCGACGGUUGUCCCGGUUUAAGCGUGUAGGCUGGUUUUCCAGGCAAAUCCGGAAAAUCAAGGCUGAGGCGUGAUGACGAGGCACUACGGUGCUGAAGCAACAAAUGCCCUGCUUCCAGGAAAAGCCUCUAAGCAUCAGGUAACAUCAAAUCGUACCCCAAACCGACACAGGUGGUCAGGUAGAGAAUACCAAGGCGCUUGAGAGAACUCGGGUGAAGGAACUAGGCAAAAUGGUGCCGUAACUUCGGGAGAAGGCACGCUGAUAUGUAGGUGAAGUCCCUCGCGGAUGGAGCUGAAAUCAGUCGAAGAUACCAGCUGGCUGCAACUGUUUAUUAAAAACACAGCACUGUGCAAACACGAAAGUGGACGUAUACGGUGUGACGCCUGCCCGGUGCCGGAAGGUUAAUUGAUGGGGUCAGCGCAAGCGAAGCUCUUGAUCGAAGCCCCGGUAAACGGCGGCCGUAACUAUAACGGUCCUAAGGUAGCGAAAUUCCUUGUCGGGUAAGUUCCGACCUGCACGAAUGGCGUAAUGAUGGCCAGGCUGUCUCCACCCGAGACUCAGUGAAAUUGAACUCGCUGUGAAGAUGCAGUGUACCCGCGGCAAGACGGAAAGACCCCGUGAACCUUUACUAUAGCUUGACACUGAACAUUGAGCCUUGAUGUGUAGGAUAGGUGGGAGGCUUAGAAGUGUGGACGCCAGUCUGCAUGGAGCCGACCUUGAAAUACCACCCUUUAAUGUUUGAUGUUCUAACGUGGACCCGUGAUCCGGGUUGCGGACAGUGUCUGGUGGGUAGUUUGACUGGGGCGGUCUCCUCCUAAAGAGUAACGGAGGAGCACGAAGGUUGGCUAAUCCUGGUCGGACAUCAGGAGGUUAGUGCAAUGGCAUAAGCCAGCUUGACUGCGAGCGUGACGGCGCGAGCAGGUGCGAAAGCAGGUCAUAGUGAUCCGGUGGUUCUGAAUGGAAGGGCCAUCGCUCAACGGAUAAAAGGUACUCCGGGGAUAACAGGCUGAUACCGCCCAAGAGUUCAUAUCGACGGCGGUGUUUGGCACCUCGAUGUCGGCUCAUCACAUCCUGGGGCUGAAGUAGGUCCCAAGGGUAUGGCUGUUCGCCAUUUAAAGUGGUACGCGAGCUGGGUUUAGAACGUCGUGAGACAGUUCGGUCCCUAUCUGCCGUGGGCGCUGGAGAACUGAGGGGGGCUGCUCCUAGUACGAGAGGACCGGAGUGGACGCAUCACUGGUGUUCGGGUUGUCAUGCCAAUGGCACUGCCCGGUAGCUAAAUGCGGAAGAGAUAAGUGCUGAAAGCAUCUAAGCACGAAACUUGCCCCGAGAUGAGUUCU